GGAAGGAUCAUUAACACGUUAUCCACGUAUCAACCAAUCGAGAACUUGUUUUCACGUCUCCCUUUGCAAUUUGAAUGAAUUGGAACCAGUUUGAGGGAAUUGAUGUGGAUUGCAGUCAAAUGCAGUCGGCCUUCCUGGUAUACUUACGAACACUGAAAAGUGAUUGUUGACAAUUGUAUCUUAUUGCUUAAAGGCCAAAUUUCUUCCAGUAUUUUGAUCUCCAUCAUGAUCAAUAAAGUAUUGGAGGAGAAACCAAUUAUAAACUAUUUUCACCACCUUUUUGCUAGUUGACUUUUUAUCUGUGAUUGUUUUGCUUAAUUGCAAUGUAGUCGCACGUUUAAUUACUUGAACGUUAAAAAAUACAACUCUUAGCAAUGGAUAUCUUGGUUCUCGCAACGAUGAAGAACGCAGCGAAAUGCGAUACGUAAUGCGAAUUGCAGAAUUCAGUGAAUCAUCAAAUCUUUGAACGCAAAUUGCGCUCUUGGGUAGCCCUAGGAGCACGCCUCUCUCAGUAUCGGUUCAACAAUCUCUCAGCAGCGUGUUUCUAUUUGAAAUAAUUGAAGAAGCAAUUCUUUAUGUUUUCUUUUGGAAGCGCGCGUUGGCUGGAAAAUGAGAGUCUGUAUGCUUUGUCGUACAGUCUCUUUAAAUUCAUGGAGUAAGCAUAAACUAAAACGAUUAAAUUCUCCUUACAGUGUGUAGGCCUGUCCAACCCGCAAGGGAGGGAUUGGCUGUAAUUCGUAUAGAAAGGAGAAUAGUAGAGUCUUUGACUUUGCUUUAAUUCGAGUAGUGACGUGAAUAUUGGCCAGCAAUGGUCUACUUUUAUGUUUAUCUAUUCGAGACUAAGCUAUUACAAGUCUUUGAUUUAACGAAACAAUCGUUUGACCUAUGGUUGUAUGUUUACGUAUAGAAAUCCAUAUGGCUUUUGUUCUUUAAUUAGACAGAAUCCUGAAUUUUGAUCUGAGAUGAAGCGAGACAACCCCCUGAAUUUAAGCAUAUUAAUAAGGGAGGAAAAGAAACUAACAAGGAUUCCCCCAGUAACGGCGAGUGAAGCGGGAAGAGCUCAAUUUGAAAAUCGAUUACCUAAACGGGUCAUCGAAUUGUAGCCUAGAGACGUACUAUCAGCUGAAACCUGGGUAUAAGUUCUUUGGAAUGAGGCAUCAUAGAGGGUGAGAAUCCCGUUUAUGACCCAAAGCUUUCAGCGUACGAUGUAUGUUCAUCGAGUCGAGUUGUUUGGGAUUGCAGCUCUAAAUGGGUGGUAAGUUUCAUCUAAAGCUAAAUAAUGGCGAGAGACCGAUAGCGAACAAGUACCGUGAGGGAAAGAUGAAAAGAACUUUGAAAAGAGAGUUAAAAGUACUUGAAAUUGCUAAGAGGGAAGCGCUAGAAACCAGUGAUACGCUAGGUCAAUCGUUUUCGGCUACUCGUAGAUAGUGUCGGGCAAUGGGCAACCUUGUUCGGUGUUAUCGAAAGGAUGGUCGGAGAUUUAAUGAUUUAGUGUCAGUCAAGAUCAAUUCGGAUUGUGGGAGAAGGUAGCGAGAAAGGUAGGAGAGCAAUCUCUGUUAUAUUCUUGUUACUCUACCUCGGCCUGGAUUGAGGAAGUAAUGGUGCGCCGCUUGCGGCUUGAUCCUGCGUCUCUGUUGUCCUACUUGCUCCGAUUAGCAAUGCUAUCUCUGUGGGGAAAGGCAAUACUGGGCGUGGUGAUUCUAUGUGCCAUCACGAUCUUGUACGAAAUGGUUUUUAUCGACCCGUCUUGAAACACGGACCAAGGAGUCUAACAUCUAUGCAAGUAUUUGGGUGAAAAACCCUGAUGCGUAAUGAAAGUAAAGGUAGACUUGUUCUACUGAGGUAGGAAUCCCUGUCAAAGGGGAGGCACUAUCGACCGAUCAUCACUUGUGAAAGAUUUGAGUAAGAGCAUAUCUGUUGGGACCCGAAAGAUGGUGAUCUAUGCCUGAACAGGGUGAAGCCAGGGGAAACUCUGGUGGAGGCUCGUAGCGAUACUGACGUGCAAAUCGUUCGUCUGAUUUGGGUAUAGGGGCGAAAGACUAAUCGAACCAUCUAGUAGCUGGUUCCCUC
This 2070-nucleotide unclassified non-coding RNA is filed under the name uncultured fungus. RNAcentral's name for it is "sequence contains 18S rRNA gene, ITS1, 5.8S rRNA gene, ITS2, 28S rRNA gene". The stretch from base 954 to 2070 matches the Rfam family "Eukaryotic large subunit ribosomal RNA", at positions 1 to 961 of the family's 3401-position model. The record is from RNAcentral. Lineage: Eukaryota; Fungi.